Molecule: ribosomal RNA, 439 nt
Filed under: uncultured bacterium
Lineage: Bacteria
Description: partial 16S ribosomal RNA
Rfam family: Bacterial small subunit ribosomal RNA
Source: RNAcentral
UGGGGAAUUUUGGACAAUGGGGGAAACCCUGAUCCAGCCAUCCCGCGUGUGCGAUGAAGGCCUUCGGGUUGUAAAGCACUUUUGGCAGGAAANAAACGUCGCGGGUUAAUACCCCGCGAAACUGACGGUACCUGCAGAAUAAGCACCGGCUAACUACGUGCCAGCAGCCGCGGUAAUACGUAGGGUGCAAGCGUUAAUCGGAAUUACUGGGCGUAAAGCGUGCGCAGGCGGUUCGGAAAGAAAGAUGUGAAAUCCCAGAGCUUAACUUUGGAACUGCAUUUUUAACUACCGGGCUAGAGUGUGUCAGAGGGAGGUGGAAUUCCGCGUGUAGCAGUGAAAUGCNUAGAUAUGCGGAGGAACACCGAUGGGCGAAAGGCAGCCUCCUGGGAUAACACUGACGCUCAUGCACGAAAGCGUGGGGAGCAAACAGGAUUAGAUA